RNAcentral lists this ribosomal RNA (387 nucleotides) under uncultured bacterium. RNAcentral describes it as "bacterial SSU rRNA". It matches the Rfam family "Bacterial small subunit ribosomal RNA", at positions 29 to 410 of the family's 1533-position model. The record is from RNAcentral.
AUUGAACGCUGGCGGCAUGCCUAACACAUGCAAGUCGAACGGCAGCACAGCAGUAGCAAUACUGUGGGUGGCGAGUGGCGGACGGGGUGAGGAAUACGUCGGAAUCUGCCCAGUCGUGGGGGAUAACUAGCCGAAAGGUUAGCUAAUACCGCAUACGACCGAGAGGUGAAAGCGGGGGACCGCAAGGCCUCGCGCGAUUGGAUGAGCCGACGUCGGAUUAGCUAGUUGGCGGGGUAAAGGCCCACCAAGGCGACGAUCCGUAGCUGGUCUGAGAGGAUGAUCAGCCACACUGGAACUGAGACACGGUCCAGACUCCUACGGGAGGCAGCAGUGGGGAAUAUUGGACAAUGGGCGCAAGCCUGAUCCAGCAAUGCCGCGUGUGUGAAG